Molecule: long non-coding RNA, 1473 nt
Filed under: Bemisia tabaci
Lineage: Eukaryota; Metazoa; Arthropoda; Insecta; Hemiptera; Aleyrodidae
Description: lncRNA ENSSSA1NGG005390
Source: RNAcentral
CAGUUCAAGCAAAUUCUUUAAGAAUGAAAAUUCAUUUGAUGUUACUGAGAUCGCUUAUUGUUCAUGUUUAUCAACGGCAGACGGUCAUGUUUGUUUUUGGCCAAGAUUGCAAAGUUAUUGAAAAUCAAAUUUCGUGCCACAGCUAUAGCGGCGGGAGCCAAAAGCCGAGUUUUGGUUCGAAUGGUCUAGAAAAGCAUACCUACGUUUCACCUACCUUACAGAGCCACCUUGGGAAUAAUUGUUCCGCCACCCCCUACGAAAAUUUCCUAUGACGACCCAUGGCACCUCCACUACCUCCGCCCUCGCGACAACCCCGGCCACUGCGAAUGAAAGCUUCCUCUCCGAUUGAACAGUAGUGAUGCGAGCGUCUCCAAAACACCCGAUAAGAUAGCGGAUACCCAGGACUAUCGGCUCACGGGCCCGGUGCGGUGUUUAUUUUGAAUUUUUCCAAGACGUCGCGACGACCAAGACGAACACACCUCCGCUCGGAUCCGCGGUAUAGGAGACGAGUGCGUUUCGAGCCCCGGUUUAGUGCCCAUCUCCGCGUGAUAAAUUGUCUCCGCUCAUUAUCCCAUUGUCGAGCCGUUCGGAUCAUCGGAUCCCGGCACUUCGCGAGUCAUCGUUUGGUGCGCUUGCGAAAAAAACUGGCCCAACUUGGUUUUCACGCGACUUUUAGCGCGGAUAGUUCGGUUUUCGAAGUGAUUAAAAAGUCGCGAAUUCCGUUUGAGUUGGAACUUUAUUCGGGCUAACCCCUCAAUCCGAAGUGACAUUUUUUCCCUCGAAGGAUCGCUGUCCGAAGUUGUUAAUCACGUGGAUCUCGAUUUUUGAAGUUAAUUUUGAUCCACGAAUUUGAUGUUCGAGUUCCUUCAAAUGCUUCAGUAUGAAGUGACUUUUGCCUCCUGAAGUGUGGUCGAGAUUUUGAAUCUCUCAACGCAAUAAUUUUGGUUUUGGAGCGAGUUUGAAUCCGCGAAUUGACUCUUUGAGUUGGAAGUUAAUUUGAAAAAAAUAUCUCUCAAUCCAAAGUGACCUUUAUUGUUAAUAUCACAAUUUUAUUAUUUUCGCACUGCUGCAACCUUACCGGUGCAUUAUCGAAACUUCCGAUCGAGUUUAUUUUUCUGAUUUUUAUGAACUUUCAUGUGGACUUCUCGCCUCGGCGACUCUUGUGAUUUUACAAAAAUUUGAUUUGCAAAUUUGACUCUUUCGCCUAUUUUCGUGCCUUAUUUAUACCUUAUAUUUGCGACUUUUCCAUCAAAUUCCUCGCAUUGGAAGUUAUUAUCAAAACUUUUUUCAUUGACACUGAUUCAUCUCGGUAGAUUGACCUACCGAGCUUGUAGGAUAGAAACCACGGACUUCCUCGUUGUCUAAUCUGAAUCAUCUACAAAAAUCUACUUUAUUACGUACAAAGUUACUGGAACCAUUGCUCCAACUGAAGAAGAUUCUAGGACCUCUUUCCUACAGUUUCAUCCUAAAGAU